Molecule: long non-coding RNA, 442 nt
Organism: Xenopus tropicalis (tropical clawed frog)
Lineage: Eukaryota; Metazoa; Chordata; Amphibia; Anura; Pipidae
Exons: 4
Source: RefSeq, a predicted model, not a curated record
CAAGGAAGUCAGGAGAAGAGCUGCAGUUCAGAUGCUUGUAAUAGAGUAAUAGAGGAACAAAAUAAAUCUGCAUGCAAGGAGAAUGCCAUGGUUGAUCUGAAGAGUAAACAUCAUCCAAAGACUCUAAUUAAACACUACACUCCAGUGGCCAAGUUAUGAUUGAAAAUUGUUUGCAUGGUCAUGCUCUUUUAAACAACCAGCCGUUGCUUGAAUUUCUUUUUGUGCUUAUCAGCUCAAAGUUACUUUAAAUGAAAUCAUGUCCCAGUCUUCUUUGAGAUAUGUGAUGGAAGGUACCCACGGAACAAGGCAGACCCAGUUAUUGUUGGCAGUAACUGUGCCCAUCUGAAUUAUUUUAAAAUGAUUUGCUUCUCUAAUUCAUGUAAUUAAUUUGAAAGUUUAUGAAGGAGGUUUUAUUUAAUAAAUGGUGGUAAAUACACAUUUU